CUGGAAGGAGUUUUCGGACAACGGAAGGUGAGGACAGUGGCGGACGGGUGAGUAACGCGUGAGGAACCUGCCUUUCAGAGGGGGACAACAGUUGGAAACGACUGCUAAUACCGCAUGACACAUAGAGAUCGCAUGGUUUUUAUGUCAAAGAUUUAUCGCUGAAAGAUGGCCUCGCGUCUGAUUAGCUAGUUGGUGAGGUAACGGCCCACCAAGGCGACGAUCAGUAGCCGGACUGAGAGGUUGACCGGCCACAUUGGGACUGAGAUACGGCCCAGACUCCUACGGGAGGCAGCAGUGGGGAAUAUUGGGCAAUGGGCGCAAGCCUGACCCAGCAACGCCGCGUGAAGGAAGAAGGCUUUCGGGUUGUAAACUUCUUUUGUCGGGGACGAGUAGAAGACGGUACCUGGCGAAUAAGCCACGGCUAACUACGUGCCAGCAGCCGCGGUAAUACGUAGGUGGCAAGCGUUGUCCGGAUUUACUGGGUGUAAAGGGCGUGUAGCCGGGAAGGCAAGUCAGAUGUGAAAUCCACGGGCUUAACUCGUGAACUGCAUUUGAAACUACUUUUCUUGAGUAUCGGAGAGGCAAUCGGAAUUCCUAGUGUAGCGGUGAAAUGCGUAGAUAUUAGGAGGAACACCAGUGGCGAAGGCG
RNAcentral lists this ribosomal RNA (648 nucleotides) under uncultured Lachnospiraceae bacterium. RNAcentral describes it as "bacterial SSU rRNA". It matches the Rfam family "Bacterial small subunit ribosomal RNA", at positions 62 to 723 of the family's 1533-position model. Lineage: Bacteria; Bacillati; Bacillota; Clostridia; Lachnospirales; Lachnospiraceae. The record is from RNAcentral.